AGCAGCCGCGGUAAUUCCAGCUCCAAUAGCGUAUAUUAAAGUUGUUGCAGUUAAAAAGCUCGUAGUUGAAUUUCGGGGUCAGCAGGUUGGUCGUGCCUCUGGUAUGUACUGGCCUUGCUGAUUCCUCCCUCUUGAUGAGCCGUAAUGCCAUUAAUUUGGUGUUGCGGGGAAUCAGGACUGUUACUUUGAAAAAAUUAGAGUGUUUAAAGCAGGCAAGCGCUUGAAUACAUUAGCAUGGAAUAAUGAAAUAGGACGUUCGAUCCUAUUUUGUUGGUUUCUAGGAUUGACGUAAUGAUUAAUAGGGAUAGUUGGGGGCAUUAGUAUUCAAUUGUCAGAGGUGAAAUUCUUGGAUUUAUUGAAGACUAACUACUGCGAAAGCAUUUGCCAAGGAUGUUUUCAUUAAUCAAGAACGAAAGUUAGGGGAUCGAAGACGAUCAGAUACCGUCGUAGUCUUAACCAUAAACUAUGCCGACUAGGGAUCGGAUGAUGUUAAUUUUUUAAUGACUCU
This 508-nucleotide ribosomal RNA is filed under the name uncultured Glomus. Its description in RNAcentral is "SSU rRNA". It matches the Rfam family "Eukaryotic small subunit ribosomal RNA", at positions 569 to 1078 of the family's 1831-position model. Lineage: Eukaryota; Fungi; Glomeromycota; Glomeromycetes; Glomerales; Glomeraceae. The record is from RNAcentral.